Molecule: long non-coding RNA, 2784 nt
Organism: Numida meleagris (helmeted guineafowl)
Lineage: Eukaryota; Metazoa; Chordata; Aves; Galliformes; Numididae
Exons: 3
Source: RefSeq, a predicted model, not a curated record
CGCCUCGCCUCCGCCGCCCCGCAGCGCCCCCUGCCGCCCCCGGCAGCGUCGCAGGUCCCUGCCACUGCGGCCCCUCGCGGCCCACGCGUGAGCCCUUCCGCCGACUGUCGCUGCCGUGAGUGAGGAAGGGCGGCCGCGCCCGGACUGCGGUUACAGACGCCACAGCUAUUGAGUAAGGAAGAAAGGAUUCUCGUCAAGACAUGGCGGAGGCUCGGACACAGGAUAAAGAAUGGCUGGAACAGAUUCCCUGGGAACCGGCUCCAGCUGGGUUUUGAAGAUCUCCGGAGAAAAAUCCACAGCCUCUGAAAAACCUGUUUCAGAGUUCAACCAUUCUCACAGUAAGAAGGACUUCACCUCUAUUUAAAUAGAAUUUCCUGCACUUCUACCUGUGCCCAUGGCCUCUUGUCCUGUCAUUGAGCACCACAUCCGGUUCCACCUUCCUUCCACAGGUAUUUAUGUACAUGGGUAAGAUCCCCCAAAGCCAUCUCUUCUCCAGGCUGACAAUUGCAGCUCUUAGUCUCAUUGACAGCUGCUGCAAUACUUUAAUCUUAUUAAUCAUUUUAAGUAUGUUAAAUAAUUUCUUUUAAAUUGGCUUGAAAAUUUCUCUAGUUCCUUUUCUGUUUGUUUGCUUGGACAAAAUACUCAUCUUCCUCAUGGCCUUUGUUGGAUUAUGUUUGUUUCUUACUCUCUAGUUUUAUUUCAGUAGAUUCUGGCAGGAGUCAUCACUCUGAACAAAACCAUGAAGAAGUCAAGCUGCUCAGGGCAAGGACCUAUUUACCCCUGAAGAACAACAAACAAGCACUGUUUAGCAGAGUUACAACACUUGCACCUAGCUGAGUUGGAUCUGAUGAGUACAAAGGGGCUGUAUAAACCCAGAUGUUUUAAAAACAGUAGUCUGUCUCAUGGAGAGUAAGCAGGCCAACAUGUUCUUUUUCAGGCAUGCUUCUCCACUUAUAAUAGGGUUUUGCCCAGCUCACAGGCCCACCAAUUCACUCUAGCCUGGGCAGAUAUGUUGCAUUGCACAGGGAGCAUGAGUCAUUUUGAUUCACAUUCCAUGCAGAAACAAGGAUAUACCCAGUUCUUUCCCACCAUUUGCCUGCAUCUUCUCCACUUGUUAAAGCAAAAAUCAUUUUCCUUAAUGUUUUCUGAAAAGAAUCAAAGCAGUUAAGUUCUCUGUGUUUACAGGAAUAAAAACACAAACCCUUGAAGUAAUUAAGUUUGUUCUCCCUCUAACUUUGCAGUAGCUGUUCUGGGCCUAAUGCUGCAUUUCACUUUGAAAAAUCCUAACCUAUUCUUAACUAAGAGAGAUUUUAACCACACCCACUUGGACUUAGCUUUCCCCCCCAACAUUUUACAGAGCUUUCAGGUUGUAUUUUUAUGGAAACAAAUUAUGUUAAUUUUACAGAGCAAUACAGUUGCUGGUUGUCUUGUAACAGGAAUGAUUAAUGAAAUUAUGUAUCAUAGAACCAUAAAAGUUGGAAAAGAUCUCUAAGUCCAACUGUCCACCUACCAACAAUACUGCCCACUAAACGAUGUCCCUAAGUACUGCAUCUACCCUUUCCUUAAACACCUCCGGGGACUCUACCACUUCCCUGGACUACCUGUUCCAAUGCCUAACCACUCUUUUAGAGAAGAAAUUCUUCCUAAUACCCAACCUGAAGAUAGUGGAAGAAGAGGAAAUAAUUUUUUUACCCAAUAUCUAGAUGAUGCUCUUUCCUCACAGGAAGCAUGUCAGCCAAGCAACCUAGUUCUGGACACACCUCCACAUUGAAGGGGAUGUUAGAGUUUUGCUCCAUAGUACACAUUUCUGCAUGAUUUGUUAAAAAUGGAUUAAUGCUGAUUGACACCUGCUCCACCAUGUUCUGGACAUUAAAUUACUCCAAAUUUCACAACUUUAAUUGCUAUUUAACUACCAUCUUUCCAGCCCUGCAUCUUCAGCCACCUGAAGAUCAGACAUCUGAUGUAACAGUCCUAGAUUUAACUAGGAACGCAUUUCUAGGUUUAGUAUAUACCAAGAAAAACAACAACAACAACAACAACAAAAAACAAAGUUUACAUGGAUAAUGUGGCUAUUUAUUAAUCCUAAUGACAGAUUAAUUCAACAUCUGUAAAUGAUGCAUCAUGAAGAUGUCUACAAUGCAAACAUAUUGCUUUAGAGUGGAAAUUACUGGUGCACUUUAUGGACCAAAUAAAAUUGAACAAAUACUUAAUACAGAAAACUAAAAUAUCCUUGACACCUAUGUGGGUGUCAAGAAAAAUAAUUUUACAGACGUUCUUAGAGAGCAACUAGGGCAUUAAUUUGAACAGGAGACUUCAUAUGACAUACUACAAUCCAGUUCCAGCAAUGUACUGCUUCUUAGCUAAAGCCAAGGGCAAAGGUACACUGGCACCAAGCACAGAAGAGUUUAAGCUGUAGUAGCUUGUAAUGCAAUACCAUACUUGAGCUUUAAUACUGAUUCCAGUAAUAUUCCAAUUCUGCAGCAGAGGCUUGCAUACCUUUUGGAAGUCCACUGGAAAUCAGUAAGUGCUGACUUGCCAUGGAAUCCAGUAUUGUGAGGCCCAUCUUCUUCCCUGUCUCCUGCCAGCACCACCAGUAGAGAAUGGGCAUUAAUUCUUAGUUGCAUUUCUUAACAGCUGUCAAGAUUCACCUGGUAGAUUACACGUUGGAAUUCAUUUGUUGUACACUGGGUCCCUCAAUUGAAGAGUGCAAGAAAUGAAACAAAUGGCAAAAAAUUCUACUUGACCAAAAAAAAAAGAUUUUAAUAGAACAUUGGUGACAAUAAA